RNAcentral lists this long non-coding RNA (886 nucleotides) under Salmo salar (Atlantic salmon). Its description in RNAcentral is "lncRNA (ENSSSAG00000090332.1)". The record is from RNAcentral. Lineage: Eukaryota; Metazoa; Chordata; Actinopteri; Salmoniformes; Salmonidae.
GCAGUAGUAUGCAUAGACCAGGUAGUAGUAUGCAUAGACCAGGCAGAAGUAUGCACAGACCAGGCAGUAGUAUGUACAGACCAGGCAGUAGUAUGUACAGACCAGGCAGUAGUAUGUACAGACCAGGCAGUAGUAUGUACAGACCAGGCAGUAGUAUGUACAGACCAGGUAGUAGUACGUACAGACCAGGCAGUAGUAUGUGUGUAUAAUGCAUAGACUAGGCAGUAGUAUGUACAGACCAGGCAGUAGUACGUACAGACCAGGCAACAGUAUGUGUGUAUAAUGCAUAGACUAGGCAGUAGUAUGUACAGACCAGGCAGUAGUAUGUACAGACCAGGCAGUAGUAUGCAUAGACUAGGCAGUAGUAUGUACAGACCAGGCAGUAGUUCGUACAGACCAGGCAGUAGUAUGUACAGACCAGGCAGAAGUAUGUACAGACCAGGCAGUAGUAUGUACAGACCAGGCAGUAGUAUGCAUAGCCCAGGCAGUAGUAUGCAUAGACCAGGUAGUAGUAUGCAUAGACCAGGCAGUAGUACGCAUAGACCAGGCAGUAGUAUGUACAGACCAGGUAGUAGUACGUACAGACCAGGCAGUAGUACGUACAGACCAGGCAGUAGUAUGCAUAGACCAGGCAGAAGUAUGCAUAGACCAGGCAGAAGUAUGCAUAGACCAGGCAGUAGUAUGUACAGACCAGGCAGUAGUAUGUACAGACCAGGCAGUAGUAUGUACAGACCAGGCAGUAGUAUGUACAGACCAGGCAGUAGUAUGUACAGACCAGGCAGUAGUAUGCAUAGACCAGGCAGUAGUAUGUACAGACCAGGCAGUAGUAUGUACAGACCAGGCAGUAGUAUGUACAGACCAGGCAAUAGUAUGUGUGUAUAAUGCA